This is a non-coding RNA of Cherax quadricarinatus, 455 nucleotides long. Lineage: Eukaryota; Metazoa; Arthropoda; Malacostraca; Decapoda; Parastacidae. The record is from RefSeq and is a predicted model, not a curated record.
UAGACAAGACCAAGUUUCCAUGCAGCGAGGUCACUGAAGGUGGCAACCGCUGACUCUGGGGAAGUGGGGAAGGGAGUCCACCUGAGGUGACACAAGUAGACUCCUGGAGACACUGAUCCGGGGAAGGCACCGCCGACCUUAGGUAAGUGGGGAACGGAAGACAUCCGGAGCGAGCGGAUGGAUUCCUGGAUUCAUAAACUUGGGGAAGGUUGUGGUUGAGGCUGACCUUGUGUAAGUGGGGAAGGGGAGACAUCCGGGAGCGAGCGGAUGGAUUCCUGGAUACAUGAACCUGGGGAAGGCAUGAAUACAUGCAGUUGAGGCUGACCUUGUGUAAGUGGGGAAGGGGAGACAUCCGGCGGUAGACGGAUGGAUUCCUGGAUACAUGAUCCUAAGGAAAGCAAGAAUACCGCUGACUCUGAGGAAGUGGGGAAGGGAGUCCACUCAGGUGACACAAG